Molecule: long non-coding RNA, 809 nt
Organism: Nerophis ophidion (straightnose pipefish)
Lineage: Eukaryota; Metazoa; Chordata; Actinopteri; Syngnathiformes; Syngnathidae
Exons: 5
Source: RefSeq, a predicted model, not a curated record
ACGUGACCUAUUGCGGGAAGCAUAAAAUCCAGUAGUGGGCUGCUUCCAGGAAGAGCGAGAGGGACGUUGCUGCAGGAGCCAACUACUGAAGCCAUUUAUCUGCGGAAUUGGCCAUGUUGGAUGGCGAGCUAGAGUCUGAAGCUUUAUGCCUGGAACCGAACCAACCGAACUGAAUCCACCCAACCGAGCCGGGCGGACGAUCCUGCAGGCAAGCAAGAAUCAGCACGGCCUGAACUGAACUGCACCGAGGUCAGCCUCGCGCUCGUCUGUGCCGGAAUUAUGGGCUGGCCUUACGCCGGCGGCACACAGAUUUAGCUCUGACCCUGAACACCGCCUUCCCCAGAGACAACGUCGAUCUACGAAACCCAAAACCAGUGAAGUUGGCACCUUGUGUAAAUGGUAAAUAAAAACAAAAUACAAGGAUUUGCUCAGCCGGUCGGAAGCCCGGCUUGCGUCUGGCGAUGGAGGUAUGUAAAGAGGCGGAGCCGGCGAACGAGCAGCGGGGCAGGGCACGCUGGAGCCCUGCCCAAGAUGGCGGCAAGGAGCCGGAGAAUGCGGCUGAGUGCAGAGGCGGGGCGUGGCGGGAGCGACGCUACGAACUGGAUCAGGUGCGUGGCUCGCACACCGGCACACAAUCAACUUACUUCCUCUGGCUGUAUAGAAGGGCAGCAGCGGAGGCAGAAGGAGUAGCAGAACCUGACCACCGAGAGCGACAGAGAGCGAGCCGAAGACAGCGACGACGCGGCCGGCUGAAAGCAAGCGAGGAGCGAGCAGGAGACAAGGAGCGGAAAAGCGACACGACCGCAGAC